ACUAACAAGGAUUCCCCUAGUAACUGCGAGUGAACCGGGAAAAGCUCAAAUUUUGAAUCUGGCGGUCUUUAUGGCCGUCCGAGUUGUAAUCUAGAGAAGCGUCUUCCGCGCUGGACCGUGUAUAAGUUUCCUGGAAUGGAACGUCGUAGAGGGUGAGAAUCCCGUCUUUGACACGGACUACCAGGGCUAUGUGAUGCGCUCUCGACGAGUCGAGUUGUUUGGGAAUGCAGCUCAAAUAGGGUGGUAAAUUCCAUCUAAAGCUAAAUAUAGGCGAGAGACCGAUAGCGAACAAGUACCGUGAGGGAAAGAUGAAAAGAACUUUGGAAAGAGAGUUAAACAGUACGUGAAAUUGCUGAAAGGGAAACGCUUGAUGUCAGUCGCGUUUGUCGGGGAUCAGCCUUGCUCUUUUGCUCGGCGUACUUCCUGGCGAACGGGUCAGCAUCAGUUUUGUUCGUCGGAAAAUGGCUCGAGAAAUGUGGCACUCUUCGGGGUGUGUUAUAGACUCGGGUCGAAUACGACGUCCGGGACUGAGGAACUCAGCACGACCUUCGGGUUCGGGGCUUAGGCCCACGUUAACGUGCUUAGGAUGCUGGCAUAAUGGCCUUAAGCGACCCGUCUUGAAACACGGACCAAGGAGUCUAACUCGCAUGCGAGUGUUUGGGCGAUUAAAACCCGAGCGCGUAAUGAAAGUGAAAGUCGAGACCCCUGUCGUGGGGGGCAUCGACGCCCGGACCAGAGCUUCUGCGACGGAUCUGCGGUAGAGCAUGCGUGUUGGGACCCGAAAGAUGGUGAACUAUGCCUGAAUAGGGUGAAGCCAGAGGAAACUCUGGUGGAGGCUCGUAGCGAUUCUGACGUGCA
This 858-nucleotide ribosomal RNA is filed under the name Suillus grevillei. RNAcentral's name for it is "eukaryotic LSU rRNA". It matches the Rfam family "Eukaryotic large subunit ribosomal RNA", at positions 64 to 895 of the family's 3401-position model. The record is from RNAcentral. Lineage: Eukaryota; Fungi; Basidiomycota; Agaricomycetes; Boletales; Suillaceae.